RNAcentral lists this ribosomal RNA (380 nucleotides) under uncultured eukaryote. RNAcentral's name for it is "partial 18S ribosomal RNA". It matches the Rfam family "Eukaryotic small subunit ribosomal RNA", at positions 592 to 976 of the family's 1831-position model. The record is from RNAcentral.
CAAUAGCGUAUAUUAAAGUUGUUGCAGUUAGAACGCUCGUAGUCGGAUUUCGGGGCGGGGCGACCGGUCUGCCGAUGGGUAUGCACUGGUCGGCGCGUCCUUCCUUCCGGAGACCGUUCCUACUCUUAACUGAGCGGGGGCGGGAGACGGAUCGUUUACUUUGAAAAAAUCAGAGUGUUUCAAGCAGGCAGCUCGCUCUUGCAUGGAUUAGCAUGGGAUAAUGAAAUAGGACUUUGGUGCUAUUUUGUUGGUUUCGAACACCGAAGUAAUGAUUAAAAGGGACAGUCAGGGGCACUCGUAUUCCGCCGAGAGAGGUGAAAUUCUCAGACCAGCGGAAGACGAACCACUGCGAAAGCAUUUGCCGGGGAUGUUUUCACUGA